UCCAAAGAUCUACUCAAGGACCUCCCAGAGUUGCCCAAACUUCUGACCCAGACUCUUCAGAGGCCUGCGCGGAGGAAGAGGAAGGGCUCAUGCCUCAAGGUCCCCAGCUCCUGGACUUCAGCGUGGACGAGGUGGCCGAGCAGCUGACCCUCAUGGACUUGGAGCUCUUCUCCAAGGUGAGGCCCUACGAGUGCUUGGGCUCCGUGUGGUCGCAGAGGGACCGGCCGGGGGCUGCAGGCGCCUCCCCCACUGUGCGCGCCACCGUGGCCCAGUUCAACACCGUGACCAGCUGUGUGCUGGGUUCCGUGCUCGGAGCACCGGGCUUGGCCGCCCCGCAGAGGGCGCAGCGGCUGGAGAAGUGGAUCCGCAUCGCCCAGCGCUGCCGAGAACUGCGGAACUUCUCCUCCUUGCGCGCCAUUCUGUCCGCCCUGCAAUCUAACCCCAUCUACCGGCUCAAGCGCAGCUGGGGGGCCGUGAGCCGGGAACCGCUAUCUACUUUCAGGAAACUUUCGCAGAUUUUCUCCGAUGAGAACAACCACCUCAGCAGCAGAGAGAUUCUUUUCCAGGAGGAGGCCACUGAGGGAUCCCAAGAAGAGGACAACACCCCAGGCAGCCUGCCCUCAAAACCACCCCCAGGCCCUGUCCCCUACCUUGGCACCUUCCUUACGGACCUGGUUAUGCUGGACACAGCCCUGCCGGAUAUGUUGGAGGUCUGACCCCUGACCCUUGACCCCUGACCCCAGCUCCACUUGCCCCCAGCACAAUGGGCCUCCCGAUAUCCACCCUUGAUCCUACCUGUACUCCUGACACCACCCCACACUCCCUUACUACAGUGGGGCUCCUGACAUCCCAGCCCCUGACCUUGACCCUUGACCCUGGGUGCUGCAAUUCAGACACACUUUGCCCCCAGGGGGAUCUCAUUAACUUUGAGAAGAGGAGGAAGGUGAGUGGAGGCUACAGUGGGUGUGGGGGUGGUGCCUGAGGGUGGGGGUGGGGCAGGGGUAGGGUCUCAGAGGCUCGUCCUCCAGGAGUGGGAGAUCCUGGCCCGCAUCCAGCAGCUGCAGAGGCGCUGUCAGAGCUACACCCUGAGCCCCCACCCGCCCAUCCUGGCUGCCCUGCAUGCCCAGCACCAGCUCACCGAGGAGCAGAGCUACCGGCUCUCCCGGGUCAUUGAGCCACCAGCUGCCUCCUGCCCCAGCUCCCCACGCAUCCGACGGCGGAUCAGCCUCACCAAGCGUCUCAGUGCGAAGCUUUCCCGAGAGAAAAGCUCAUCACCUAGUGGGAGUCCCGGGGACCCCUCAUCCCCCACCUCCAGUGUGUCCCCAGGGUCACCCCCCUCAAGUCCUAGAAGCAGAGAUGCUCCUGCUGGCAGUCCCCCGGCCUCUCCAGGGCCCCAGGGCCCCAGCACCAAGCUGCCCCUGAGCCUGGACCUGCCCAGCCCCCGGCCCUUCGCUUUGCCUCUGGGCAGCCCUCGAAUCCCCCUCCCGGCGCAGCAGAGCUCGGAGGCCCGUGUCAUCCGCGUCAGCAUCGACAAUGACCACGGGAACCUGUAUCGAAGCAUCUUGCUGACCAGUCAGGACAAAGCCCCCAGCGUGGUCCGGCGAGCCUUGCAGAAGCACAAUGUGCCCCAGCCCUGGGCCUGUGACUAUCAGCUCUUUCAAGUCCUUCCUGGGGACCGGGUGCUCCUGAUUCCUGACAAUGCCAACGUCUUCUAUGCCAUGAGUCCAGUCGCCCCCGGAGACUUCAUGCUGCGGCGGAAAGAGGGGACCCGGAACACUCUGUCUGUCUCCCCAAGCUGAGGCAGCUCUGUCCUCUCCACAAGACACAAGUCCCACAGGCAAGCUUACGACUCCUCUCCUGGAAAGCUGCCAUCCCCCAGUAGAGGCCACUGUGCUGUGUAUCCCAGGACCACCACCCAACUGUAGCCCAUUGGACCCCAUCUCUUUUUCUGACUCUGUUGGUACUAGAUCCAUAUUCCAAAGACAUCAGCCCAUGGGUGGCUGGUGGAGAGCUCAAUCCCAUAAAUGUAGAAAGAGGUGGGGCAUGGAUACGUCAGAUCCCUCCCCAGAGAAAUCUUAUAAAUGUUAGAGACGCAUCAGAAGUGACAGAUGCGGAUGAAAAUAGUGAACAGAGUUAUGAAACAGG
Molecule: small RNA, 2145 nt
Filed under: Pan troglodytes (chimpanzee)
Lineage: Eukaryota; Metazoa; Chordata; Mammalia; Primates; Hominidae
Description: retained intron
Source: RNAcentral